AUUUUCUUUUCCAUUUUAUCUGGUUGUCCUUUUGAAUAUAUUGGAAAUUUCCCUGUAUUUUCAGUUUGAUAUUUUUCUAGUUGGGUUCAUUUGAUAGAAAGUUAAGUCACUGUAGUAUUGUAUUACUGGCAGUAUAUUUAGGGUAAAUGAUCCAAAUUUUCUAUUAGAGUGUUGCCUGGAUUAUUCUCAUCUCUCUCUCUCUCCCCUCUCCUAAUAAAUCUAAAGUAUGAUUUUCUGGUAGAUCUGGAUACGAAUUAAGCAUGUGUCCUGUUUUUUAACGUGUUUAAUAUUUCCUCUCAGGAUAUUCCAUCAUUUUUUUAGUGUAGGGCAAGUUAAGCAACAGUUAGGGGUAAGUAGGCCAGUGGAUGAAAGAUUGAUUUUGAACCUAGUUUUGCUCAAUGACCCAACAAAGUUUAGCCCAAGCAACAGCUAGGGGUUAUUGUGCUCGGGCGAAAGAUUGAUUUUGAAGUUAGUUUUGCUCAAUGAUCCAACAAAGUUUAGCCCAAGCAACGGUUAGGGGUUAUUGUGCUCGGGCGAAAGAUUGAUUUUGAACUUAGUUUUGCUCAAUGACCCAACAAAGCUUAACCCUAGGACUGUACACUCAAGGAGUAAUUCUGUGGCGAGGAGUAUAUAGGGUUGGAUGUUGUAGUUGAAGUACCAUCCUAGUCUUGGUUUGGUUAUGUGAAUCUCUUUCUUCUAUCUUUUUUUUCUUUCUUUGUAAGAAAUAGUUAACUCUGAAAUUGAUUUUGGUUCAUGAAAUCACUCUUUUACUAAAAGUUACUAAAGUGUCUUGAUCUCAGAGAUGUCAGUAGCUAAGUUUGUAAAUUUGUUGCAGGAUGGUACCACAUAUGGAUUCAAGUUUCCUCUCUGAACUUUUCACCUUCUUUCUAACAAGUGUCUGUGUUCCUCUUGUUCUCUUUCAAACUGUCUUCUGCUAGAAUUUCAUUUUGUCUAGUUCUGUUUAAACUGUGUACUACCAAUCAGAGACAAGUGAUUUGUUACUAGAAAUGUUGUCAAAUAAAGGAGAGAAAUUGUCUCUUGACAUUGUUUUUCCUUAA
Long non-coding RNA from Vitis riparia (riverbank grape), 1058 nucleotides. RefSeq lists it as uncharacterized. The transcript is spliced from 2 exons. The record is from RefSeq and is a predicted model, not a curated record. NCBI's taxonomy places the organism in Eukaryota, Viridiplantae, Streptophyta, Magnoliopsida, Vitales, Vitaceae.